RNAcentral lists this ribosomal RNA (509 nucleotides) under uncultured Desulfobulbus sp. Its description in RNAcentral is "bacterial SSU rRNA". It matches the Rfam family "Bacterial small subunit ribosomal RNA", at positions 903 to 1382 of the family's 1533-position model. The record is from RNAcentral. Lineage: Bacteria; Pseudomonadati; Thermodesulfobacteriota; Desulfobulbia; Desulfobulbales; Desulfobulbaceae.
CCUUGCCAGCCCGCUCAGAAACUUAAAGGAAGUUGACGGGGCCCGGCACAAGCGGUGGAGUAUGUGGUUUAAUUCGAUGCAACGCGAAGAACCUUACCUGGUCUUGACAUCCCGGAGACCCUUAGGAAACUAGGGGUGCUUCCAUCUGGAAGAAUCUGGAGACAGGUGCUGCAUGGCUGUCGUCAGCUCGUGUCGUGAGAUGUUGGGUUAAGUCCCGCAACGAGCGCAACCCUUGCCUUUAGUUGCCAGCAGUUCGGCUGGGCACUCUAAAGGGACUGCCGGUGUUAAACCGGAGGAAGGUGGGGAUGACGUCAAGUCCUCAUGGCCUUUAUGACCAGGGCUACACACGUACUACAAUGGCCGAUACAAAGGGCAGCGACACUGCGAGGUGAAGCCAAUCCCGUAAAAUCGGUCUCAGUCCGGAUUGGAGUCUGCAACUCGACUCCAUGAAGUUGGAAUCGCUAGUAAUCGUGGAUCAGCAUGCCACGGUGAAUACGUUCCCGGGCCUU